This 437-nucleotide ribosomal RNA is filed under the name uncultured bacterium. RNAcentral describes it as "bacterial SSU rRNA". It matches the Rfam family "Bacterial small subunit ribosomal RNA", at positions 28 to 507 of the family's 1533-position model. The record is from RNAcentral.
GAUGAACGCUGGCGGUAUGCUUAAUACAUGCAAGUCGUACGAAGGCUUUUAGCCUUAGUGGCGGACGGGUGAGUAACACGUGAGAAUCUGCCCUUAGGAGGAGGAUAACAGCUGGAAACGGUUGCUAAUACUCCAUAUGCCGAGAGGUGAAAGAAUUUAUUUGCCUAAGGAGGAGCUCGCGUCUGAUUAGCUAGUUGGUAGGGUAAUGGCCUACCAAGGCGACGAUCAGUAGCUGGUUUGAGAGGAUGAUCAGCCACACUGGGACUGAGACACGGCCCAGACUCCUACGGGAGGCAGCAGUAGGGAAUUUUCCGCAAUGGGCGAAAGCCUGACGGAGCAAUACCGCGUGAGGGAUGACGGCCUGUGGGUUGUAAACCUCUUUUCUCAAGGAAGAAGUUCUGACGGUACUUGAGGAAUAAGCAUCGGCUAACUCUGUG